Molecule: long non-coding RNA, 1772 nt
Filed under: Homo sapiens (human)
Lineage: Eukaryota; Metazoa; Chordata; Mammalia; Primates; Hominidae
Description: HSALNT0224913
Source: RNAcentral
AAAAAAAAAAAAAAGUUGCGGAAGUUCCCUUGGCACACUUGGCUAAGGAAACCUGGCACCGAGGAUAUGAAACUGGGGGACUUGAGGCUCCCUGAAUAAGAGAUGGAGCUUGCAGAGGACGCACUAGGUGCCUGGCGUUGGCCUAAGCACUUUCCAGCAGAUAAUUUGCUUAUCCUCAGGGCAACCUUAUGAGGUAGGUACUAUUAUUACCCAUUUUAUAGAUGAGGAAACUGAGCCACGUGGAGGUGGGAAUGCCAAGACUGAUCCCAGGCAGCCUGGCUCUGCAUACGAAACUGCUGUAUUCUUUGCCCUGUGGUAUCUCAUACCUGGAAGGCAGGCAGGGAACAGAGGAGAAAGGUUGAGGCUGAAUCGUUACAUAAGUGCAAGGGCCCCAGGGUCCUGAGUGGCACCUGAGAAGAGAGGAGCCCAAGCUAUUAGGCCGUAAAAUACACUGCCUGGUGUCUGCCACAUAGUAGAUUCUCCAUAAGUGUUGAACUGAAAUCAAGCAUAAUUACCUGAGCUAUCAGCCCUUUCUCUCUAGUUCAUCAACAUUUCUCUCAAUUCUUUGAUUUUGUCAAACUUGGUAAACCACGGAAAAUGUGUACUUCUUAAAAAAAAAAAAAAGAAAAGAAAAAGAUUGUCCAGUUCAUGGAACACUGCAACAAGACAUGUGAGAAGAGAUCUUACUAGUGUUUAACUCAAAAUCCCGAGAGGCUUGCGCAGAGGCUGGAGCCCAGCAACCAUUGCUUGUCCUUAGAGCCCAUUUAAGGGGCACCCUCCUAUCAUCACCCAUUAGCUUUCUCCCGGUGAAGCAUGAAUAUUUUCACAGUGAAGCUCAGGUCUAACUGUGACACUCUCACUGCCCACAAAAUGCACAGGAUUCCAGUGAGCAAAUAGCCCCGCCCUGAGUCUACCCGGCAUCGGCCACAGGCAUGCAUAGCAGGAACUGGGCGGCUGAGUUCACAGGCAGUCAGAAUGGGUGCUGCUGCUAGCAAGGGGCUUUGAUCAACUCGGCCUUCCUGGGCCUCGGGGAGAGAGACGGACUGCCUCCGGGUGCUCAUGACCUUUCCAGCAGUAAGCCAAUAAUGUAUGACUCCUGCGUUGCCGUUGCUCGUUUGAGCUUUGAAUGAUGCAUUGGCCCACGUGGACCACCUUCCAUUUCCCAAGACUUUUUGAAGGCAAUGAAUGAGAAGAAAGCAGAGAAAACAGUGGGCGUGAGGUCAGAUGACUCAGGCUUGAGUACUGAUCACAUCAAGGAUUGGACGCACUGCUCUUAGGAAGGCACAACUUCUACUACUUUCAGUCUUAUCAACUGUGAGAGUGUACCCUUGCUGUAGAUGCCACCCGCCCAGCAGUCCUCAUCAUCUUGGCCCAGGAUCACCUGAAACAGAUGAUCCUCCUUUUGAGCUACCAUCAGAAGGUCCACAGUACUAGCCCAGCGCUACAUCCCAAUGCCUACGCCAUUCAUCUCACCUCAUCUCAUCACGUAGACAUUUCAUCAUGUCACAUCAUCACAAGAAGGGAAUCUAUUCACAAAUAAGGUUUUGUGGAUUCAACAGCUUUACUGAAGAUAUGUAGAUUGUUGUUAGCGCUUCCUACCUUGCACAGCCUCUUGUCCCGUCACUGGCCCCAUGCAUCUUCCUCUGCUGCCUUCAAGAAGCUCCAGAUCCUGCCACAGACGUGCUCCACUCAGAGGACUGGAGUCCAAUCCCCUGACAGUGCUUUUCUCUUUGGGAAGCACCCCCUCCCCCACUGCCAUUAAACCUCUGGAA